RNAcentral lists this ribosomal RNA (253 nucleotides) under uncultured bacterium. RNAcentral describes it as "partial 16S ribosomal RNA". It matches the Rfam family "Bacterial small subunit ribosomal RNA", at positions 524 to 776 of the family's 1533-position model. The record is from RNAcentral.
UACGGGGGGGGCAAGCGUUGUUCGGAGUUACUGGGCGUAAAGCGCUCGUAGGCGGCUUGCUAAGUCAGACGUGAAAUCCCUCAGCUCAACUGGGGAACUGCGUCUGAGACUGGCGAGCUUGAGUGCAGGAGAGGAAUGCGGAAUUCCAGGUGUAGCGGUGAAAUGCGUAGAUAUCUGGAGGAACACCGGUGGCGAAGGCGGCGUUCUGGACUGCAACUGACACUGAGGAACGAAAGCGAGGGGAGCAAACGGG